ACCCGACUGCUAUUUGGGUGAGGAUAAGCCAUGCGAGUUGAAUGGGAAACCUAAAAAUCCCAUGGCAAACUGCUCAGUAACACAUGAUCAACUUACCCUAUAGAGGAAAAUAACCUCGGGAAACUGAGGAUAAUGUUCCAUAGUUGAAUCGGCUUGGAAAAGUUUUUCAAUAAAAGGGAUAAGAAAAAUGGUUCUUAUCUGCUAUAGGAUAGGAUCGUGCUCGAUUAUGGUUGUUGGUGAGGUAAAGGCUCACCAAGCCGAUAAUCGAUAGGGGCCGUGAGAGCGGGAGCCCCGAGAUGGGUACUGAGACAACGACCCAGGCCUUACGAGGCGCAGCAGGCGCGAAACCUCCGCAAUACACGAAAGUGUGACGGGAUUACCCAAAGUGUUCUAUUUAGAACUGUGGUAGGUGAGUAAUGUUCCCUACUAGAAAGGAGAGGGCAAGGCUGGUGCCAGCCGCCGCGGUAAAACCAGCUCUUCAAGUGGUCGGGAUAAUUAUUGGGCUUAAAGUGUCCGUAGCCGGUUUAGUAAGUUCCUGGUAAAAUCGGGUAGCUUAACUAUCUAUAUGCUAGGAAUACUGCUAUACUAGAGGGCGGGAGAGGUCUGAGGUACUACAGGGGUAGGGGUGAAAUCNNNUAAUCCUUGNNGGACCNCCAGUNGCGAAGGCGUCNGACNNGANCGNNNCNGACGGUGAGGGACGAANGCNAGGGNAGCGAACCGGAUUAGAUACCCGGGUAGUCCUNGCNGUAAACGAUGCNNNCUAGGUGNUGGCANNNCNNNGAGNNNUGNCAGUGCCGNAGAGAAGCCGUUAAGCCCGCCAUCUGGGGAGUACGGUCGCAAGGCUGAAACUUAAAGGAAUUGGCGGGGGAGCACUACAACGGGUGGAGCCUGCGGUUCAAUUGGAUUCAACGCCGGAAAACUCACCGGAGGCGACAGCGAGAUGAAGGUCAGGCUGAAGACCUUACCGGAUUAGCUGAGAGGUGGCGCAUGGCCGUCGGCAGUUCGUGUCGUGAAACAUCCUGUUAAGUCAGGCAACGGGCGAGACCCGCGCUCACAGUUGCCAGCAUCUCUUCCGAGAGGAUGGGCACUCUGUGAGGACUGCCGCCGCUAAGGUGGAGGAAGAAGCGGGCCACGGUAGGUCAGUAUGCCCCGAAUCCUCCGGGCUACACGCGUGCUACAAUGGGUGGUACAAUGGGUAUCAACCCCGAAAGGGGAAGGUAAUCUCCUAAAACCAUCCUCAGUUGGGAUCGAGGGCUGCAACUCGCCCUCGUGAACCUGGAAUCCGUAGUAAUCGCCCCUCAAAAUGGGGCGGUGAAUAUGUCCCUGCUCCUUGCACACACCGCCCGUCAAGCCAGCCGAGUGGGAUUUAGGUGAGGCCAUCUUUUUUGGGGUGUUCGAACCUAAGUCUCGUAAGGGGGGCU
This 1421-nucleotide ribosomal RNA is filed under the name uncultured archaeon. RNAcentral's name for it is "partial 16S ribosomal RNA". It matches the Rfam family "Archaeal small subunit ribosomal RNA". The record is from RNAcentral.